AAAUUGAAGAGUUUGAUCAUGGCUCAGAUUGAACGCUGGCGGCAGGCCUAACACAUGCAAGUCGAACGGUAACAGGAAGCAGCUUGCUGCUUUGCUGACGAGUGGCGGACGGGUGAGUAAUGUCUGGGAAACUGCCUGAUGGAGGGGGAUAACUACUGGAAACGGUAGCUAAUACCGCAUAACGUCGCAAGACCAAAGAGGGGGACCUUCGGGCCUCUUGCCAUCGGAUGUGCCCAGAUGGGAUUAGCUAGUAGGUGGGGUAACGGCUCACCUAGGCGACGAUCCCUAGCUGGUCUGAGAGGAUGACCAGCCACACUGGAACUGAGACACGGUCCAGACUCCUACGGGAGGCAGCAGUGGGGAAUAUUGCACAAUGGGCGCAAGCCUGAUGCAGCCAUGCCGCGUGUAUGAAGAAGGCCUUCGGGUUGUAAAGUACUUUCAGCGGGGAGGAAGGGAGUAAAGUUAAUACCUUUACUCAUUGACGUUACCCGCAGAAGAAGCACCGGCUAACUCCGUGCCAGCAGCCGCGGUAAUACGGAGGGUGCAAGCGUUAAUCGGAAUUACUGGGCGUAAAGCGCACGCAGGCGGUUUGUUAAGUCAGAUGUGAAAUCCCCGGGCUCAACCUGGGAACUGCAUCUGAUACUGGCAAGCUUGAGU
RNAcentral lists this ribosomal RNA (657 nucleotides) under Escherichia coli. RNAcentral describes it as "bacterial SSU rRNA". It matches the Rfam family "Bacterial small subunit ribosomal RNA", at positions 1 to 647 of the family's 1533-position model. The record is from RNAcentral. Lineage: Bacteria; Pseudomonadati; Pseudomonadota; Gammaproteobacteria; Enterobacterales; Enterobacteriaceae.